Small nucleolar RNA from Carassius auratus (goldfish), 211 nucleotides. Its record names the gene U3. It matches the Rfam family "Small nucleolar RNA U3". From Rfam's summary of the family: Small nucleolar RNAs (snoRNAs) are involved in the processing and modification of rRNA in the nucleolus. There are two main classes of snoRNAs: the box C/D class, and the box H/ACA class. U3 snoRNA is a member of the box C/D class. The record is from Ensembl. NCBI's taxonomy places the organism in Eukaryota, Metazoa, Chordata, Actinopteri, Cypriniformes, Cyprinidae.
AAGACUAUAUUUUCAGGGAUCAUUUCUAUAAUUAUUUAUUUUGAACUGUGUUUUGAAAGUGAUUGUCUCUCAACCCAUGAUGAAGAGCUGUAAUCAUACUUUCUAAGAGUGAGUUGAGACCGGAACUAUGAUUUUGAUCACAAGUUCUGUCAUUGAUGAGUGUUUAUAUUGCUUUUGGCAAUAUUCAUGUAAGAAGUAUGAUCUGAGUGGU